This is a small nucleolar RNA of Zingiber officinale, 106 nucleotides long. The record is from RefSeq and is a predicted model, not a curated record. NCBI's taxonomy places the organism in Eukaryota, Viridiplantae, Streptophyta, Magnoliopsida, Zingiberales, Zingiberaceae.
AGGUCAUGAUGGGGGCACUAUCUUAGCAUACUCUUAAAUCUGUCCCAAGCUUCAAAUAAUGAUUCUGAGUCUAUCUAUUUAAAGCUGGCAAUCAGGUUCCUCAUGU